This 224-nucleotide ribosomal RNA is filed under the name uncultured bacterium. RNAcentral describes it as "partial 16S ribosomal RNA". It matches the Rfam family "Bacterial small subunit ribosomal RNA", at positions 109 to 334 of the family's 1533-position model. The record is from RNAcentral.
AGUAAUAUAUAGUUAAUGUGCCUUGAAGACCGGGAUAGCCAUUGGAAACGAUGAUUAAUACUGGAUAUACCUUCUAAUCGUAAGAUUAGUCGGGAAACGUUUUUCCGCUUCGAGAUCAGACUAUAUCCCAUCAGCUUGUUGGUGAGGUAAGAGCUCACCAAGGCAAUGACAGGUAGCGGGUUUGAGAGGAUGAUCCGCCACACUGGUACUGAGACACGGACCAG